This 494-nucleotide ribosomal RNA is filed under the name uncultured bacterium. RNAcentral describes it as "partial 16S ribosomal RNA". It matches the Rfam family "Bacterial small subunit ribosomal RNA", at positions 28 to 507 of the family's 1533-position model. The record is from RNAcentral.
GACGAACGCUGGCGGCGUGCUUAACACAUGCAAGUCGAACGGUGAAGCGCCUUCCUUUUUGGUGGGUGUGGAUGAGUGGCGAACGGGUGAGUAACAUGUGAGUAACCUGCCCCCUUCUUCUGGAUAACCGCAUGAAAGUGUGGCUAAUACGGGAUAUUCUGGGUCUGUCGCAUGAUGGGUCUGGGAAAGAUAUUGUUUCGGUGGGGGAUGGGCUCGCGGCCUAUCAGCUUGUUGGGGGGGUGAUGGCCUACCAAGGCGGUGACGGGUAGCCGGCCUGAGAGGGUGGACGGUCACACUGGGACUGAGACACGGCCCAGACUCAUACGGGAGGCAGCAGUGGGGAAUAUUGAACAGUGGGGGAAAGCCUGAUGCAGCGACGCCGCGUGAGGGAUGGAGGCCUUCGGGUUGUGAACCUCUUUCGCUAGUGAAGCAGGCCUGCCUCGUUUGUGGGUGGGUUGACGGUAGCUGGAUAAGAAGCGCCGGCUAACUACGUG